RNAcentral lists this ribosomal RNA (432 nucleotides) under uncultured bacterium. Its description in RNAcentral is "partial 16S ribosomal RNA". It matches the Rfam family "Bacterial small subunit ribosomal RNA", at positions 338 to 795 of the family's 1533-position model. The record is from RNAcentral.
CCUACGGGGGGCAGCAGUAAGGAAUAUUGGUCAAUGGAGGCAACUCUGAACCAGCCAUGCCGCGUGCAGGAUGAAGGGCUAUGCGUCGUAAAUCUUGAAAACUUACACAGUAGUAUGGUAAGAAUAAGGAUCGGCUAACUUCGUGCCAGCAGCCGCGGUAAGACGAAGGAUCCAAGCGUUAUCCGGAUUCAUUGGGUUUAAAGGGUGCGUAGGCGGGUUUGUAAGUCAGUGGUGAAAUCCUAUCGCUUAACGAUGGAACUGCCAUUGAUACUGCAAGCCUAGAGUACAGAUGAUGUUGGCGGAAUAUGACAUGUAGCGGUGAAAUGCAUAGAUAUGUCAUAGAACACCGAUUGCGAAGGCAGCUGACAAAACUGUACUGACGCUGAUGCACGAAAGUGCGGGGAUCAAACAGGAUUAGAUACCCUUGUAGUC